GGGGGUAAAGCGAGCGCAGGGCGGUUUUCUUAAAGUCUUGAUGUGAAACCCUUUGGCUUAAACCGAAGAAGUGCAUCAGAUACUGGGAAACUUGAGUGCAGAAGAGGGAAGUGGAACUCCAUGUGUAGCGGUGAAAUGCGUAGAUAUAUGGAAGAACACCAGUGGCGAAGGCGGCUUUCUGGUCUGUAACUGACGCUGAGGCUCGAAAGUAUGGAGAGCGAACAAGAGUUAGAUACCCUGGUAGUCCAUACCGUAAACGAUGAAAUGCUAAGUGUUGAGAGGUUUCCGCCCUUCAGUGCUGCAGCUAACGCAUUAAGCAUUCCGCCUGGGGAGUACGACCGCAAGGUUGAAACUCAAAGGAAUUGACGGGGGCCCGCACAAGCGGUGGAGCAUGUGGUUUAAUUCGAAGCUACGCGAAGAACCUUACCAGGUCUUGACAUCUAGCGCCAAUCCUAGAGAUAGGACGUUCCCUUCGGGGACGCUAAGACAGGUGGUGCAUGGUUGUCGUCAGCUCGUGUCGUGAGAUGUUGGGUUAAGUCCCGCAACGAGCGCAACCCUUAUGAUUAGUUGCCAGCAUUUAGUUGGGCACUCUAAUCAGACUGCCGGUGACAAACCGGAGGAAGGUGGGGAUGACGUCAAAUCAGCAUGCCCCUUAUGACCUGGGCUACACACGUGCUACAAUGGCUAGUACAACGAGUUGCGAACCCGCGAGGGUAAGCUAAUCUCUUAAAGCUAGUCUCAGUUCGGAUUGUAGGCUGCAACUCGCCUACAUGAAGUCGGAAUCGCUAGUAAUCGCGGAUCAGCACGCCGCGGUGAAUAAAUUCCCGGGCCU
Molecule: ribosomal RNA, 832 nt
Filed under: uncultured bacterium
Lineage: Bacteria
Description: bacterial SSU rRNA
Rfam family: Bacterial small subunit ribosomal RNA
Source: RNAcentral